GCCCAGAGUUUGAUCCUGGCUCAGAACGAACGCUGGCGGCAGGCUUAACACAUGCAAGUCGAACGAGGCCUUCGGGCUUAGUGGCGGACGGGUGUGUAACGCGUGGGAACGUGCCCUUUGCUACGGGAUAGCCCCUGGAAACGGGGAGUAAUACCGUAUAGUGUCUACGGACUAAAGAUUUAUCGGCAAAGGAUCGGCCCGCGUUGGAUUAGGUAGUUGGUGGGGUAAUGGCCUACCAAGCCGACGAUCUAUAGCUGGUUUGAGAGGAUGAUCAGCCACACUGGGACUGAGACACGGCCAGACUCCUACGGGAGGCAGCAGUGGGGAAUCUUGGACAAUGGAGGCAACCCUGAUCCACCAUGCCGCGUGAUCGAUGAAGGCCUUAGGGUUGUAAAGAUCUUUCGCUGGGGA
RNAcentral lists this ribosomal RNA (411 nucleotides) under uncultured bacterium. Its description in RNAcentral is "bacterial SSU rRNA". It matches the Rfam family "Bacterial small subunit ribosomal RNA", at positions 1 to 445 of the family's 1533-position model. The record is from RNAcentral.